CUCUGUGCUCCGCACGGAGCCCAACACGGGGCUCGAUCCCACAGCCCCGGGAUCGUGACCUGAGCCGAAAUCAAGAGUGGGACCCUCAACCGACCGAGCCACCCAGGCGCCCCAAGAGCCCACAUCCGUGGUGUCACCUCAUGCAGGUGUGAGCGGCGGGGCGUGUGGCCGUCCCUGGACGGGUCACCUGAAGAGGCUGCCCCUCCUUCAUUCUCUAUCCUUCCCACCCCCCUGCCCUGCUUUACUUUUCAAGAUGCCUAUCGGCGCUUCACAUAAUACUGUGUAAUUAUUUGCUUUUGUACUGGAUGUCUUUCUCCCUUAUUUAAGGUCCAGGAGAGUGGGGGGUGUCGUCUGGUUUGUUCCUUGCUGCACCCCCAUGACUUAGAACAACGCCUGGCGCGUAGUAAACAGAACACGUUCGUUCAACAAACGCUCCAGAGGAUCCAGAGGCUCCUACAAGCGGCCACAAGCCCGCGGAGCAGCGCCCGCUUGCCCGCCUGCUGGACCUUUAUAUGGCCCCUGCUUCACUCAAGCCCCUGUCGCGGCUCCCCUGAAGGCGCCAACGGGCCCCUGCAAGUCGGCUUGCUUCUAUUCCUGCCCCGUCCGAAUGCAGGCUCCACGCCACAGACCAUCCUUUUCAAACAUCACGCUCACUUCCCCUCAGGACCUUGACACUUGGUGGCUCUGUUCUCCCUGAGCCCCCCGUGGCCGCCGCCUUCACAUCACUCAAGCCCCAGCUCAAAGAUCGGGCACCUCAGAGCCGCCUUCCCUGACCGUCCAGUCUGGAAUAAUCCACCCCAGCCCAUCGCUUUUUAUCACAUCGCCUGGCCCGGCUCCGUUAUCUUUCCCUCUCGGCUUUCCAUCACCAGCUGUCAUCCCCUUAUUUGUUCUGUUGUUUAUACUUUAUGGUCUCUCCUCCUUUCCCAGGAGGCGAUGGAUGUUGGCACCUUGUCAGCAGUGACCUUGGAUCUUCUUUAUUACCAAGGCCCAGAAUAGUAGCUACAGCACAUUGUAGGUGCUCAAUAAAUAUUUCCUGAAUGAA
Molecule: long non-coding RNA, 1042 nt
Organism: Felis catus (domestic cat)
Lineage: Eukaryota; Metazoa; Chordata; Mammalia; Carnivora; Felidae
Exons: 2
Source: RefSeq, a predicted model, not a curated record